CCUACGGGAGGCAGCAGUGGGGGAUAUUGCACAAUGGGGGAAACCCUGAUGCAGCGACGCCGCGUGCGCGAAGAAGUCUUUCUGUAUUUUAAGCUCUAUUAGUACGGACGAAGAAAUGACGGUACCUGAGUAAGAAGCACCGGCUAACUACGUGCCAGCAGCCGAGGUCAUACGUAGGGUGCAAGCGUUAUCCGGAUUUACUGGGUGUAACGGGAGCGCAGGCGGUCCGACAAGCCUGAUGUGAAAGCCCGCGUCUCAACGGCGGAACUGCAUUUGGCACUGCCCGGCUGGAGUGUAGGUGCGGUAGGCGGAAUGCAUGGUGUAGCGGUGAAAUGCGUAGAUAUUAGAAAGAACACCGAUUGCGAAGGCAGCCUACUGGACGGUGACUGACGCUGAGGCACGAAAGCGUGGGGAGCAAACAGGAUUAGAUACCCGUGUAGUC
This 442-nucleotide ribosomal RNA is filed under the name uncultured bacterium. RNAcentral's name for it is "partial 16S ribosomal RNA". It matches the Rfam family "Bacterial small subunit ribosomal RNA", at positions 338 to 795 of the family's 1533-position model. The record is from RNAcentral.